RNAcentral lists this ribosomal RNA (445 nucleotides) under uncultured bacterium. Its description in RNAcentral is "partial 16S ribosomal RNA". It matches the Rfam family "Bacterial small subunit ribosomal RNA", at positions 354 to 796 of the family's 1533-position model. The record is from RNAcentral.
GUGAGGAAUAUUGGACAAUGGGCGCAAGCCUGAUCCAGCCAUGCCGCGUGCAGGAAGACGCAUCUAUGGUGUGUAAACUGCUUUUGUACGGGAAGAAACACUCCCUCGUGAGGGAGCUUGACGGUACCGUAAGAAUAAGGAUCGGCUAACUCCGUGCCAGCAGCCGCGGUAAUACGGAGGAUCCAAGCGUUAUCCGGAAUCAUUGGGUUUAAAGGGUCCGUAGGCGGUUUAAUAAGUCAGUGGUGAAAGCCCAUCGCUCAACGAUGGAACGGCCAUUGAUACUGUUAGACUUGAAUUACAAGGAAGUAACUAGAAUAUGUAGUGUAGCGGUGAAAUGCUUAGAUAUUACAUGGAAUACCAAUUGCGAAGGCAGGUUACUACUUGUGGAUUGACGCUGAUGGACGAAAGCGUGGGGAGCAAACAGGAUUAGAAACCCCGGUAGUCC